Molecule: ribosomal RNA, 375 nt
Filed under: uncultured bacterium
Lineage: Bacteria
Description: bacterial SSU rRNA
Rfam family: Bacterial small subunit ribosomal RNA
Source: RNAcentral
GACGAACGCUGGCGGCGUGCUUAACACAUGCAAGUCGAGCGGUAAGGCCCUUUCGGGGGUACACGAGCGGCGAACGGGUGAGUAACACGUGGGUGACCUGCCCUCAGCUCUGGGAUAAGCCUGGGAAACCGGGUCUAAUACCGGAUACGACUCCAUGACGCAUGUUGUGGGGUGGAAAGCCUUGUGCGGCUGAGGAUGGGCCCGCGGCCUAUCAGCUUGUUGGGUGGGGUGAUGGCCACCAAGGCGACGACGGGUAGCCGGCCUGAGAGGGCGACCGGCCACACUGGGACUGAGACACGGCCCAGACUCCUACGGGAGGCAGCAGUGGGGAAUCUUGCGCAAUGGGCGAAAGCCUGACGCAGCGACGCCGCGUGA